UGCGUAGGCGGUUUUGUGUGUCAGAUGUGAAAGCCCAUGGCUCAACCAUGGAAUUGCAUUUGAAACUGCAAAACUCGAGUAUCGGAGAGGUAGAUGGAAUUCUAGGUGUAGCGGUGAAAUGCGUAGAUAUCUAGAAGAACACCAGCGGCGAAAGCGAUCUACUGGACGAAUACUGACGCUGAGGCACGAAAGCCGAGGGGAGCGAAGA
Molecule: ribosomal RNA, 208 nt
Filed under: uncultured bacterium
Lineage: Bacteria
Description: partial 16S ribosomal RNA
Rfam family: Bacterial small subunit ribosomal RNA
Source: RNAcentral